This 253-nucleotide ribosomal RNA is filed under the name uncultured bacterium. RNAcentral's name for it is "partial 16S ribosomal RNA". It matches the Rfam family "Bacterial small subunit ribosomal RNA", at positions 524 to 776 of the family's 1533-position model. The record is from RNAcentral.
UACGUAGGGUGCGAGCGUUGUCCGGAAUUACUGGGCGUAAAGAGCUCGUAGGUGGUUUGUCGCGUUGUUCGUGGAAACCUGAGGCUUAACCUUGGGCGUGCGGGCGAUACGGGCAGACUGGAGUACUGCAGGGGAGACUGGAAUUCCUGGUGUAGCGGUGGAAUGCGCAGAUAUCAGGAGGAACACCGGUGGCGAAGGCGGGUCUCUGGGCAGUAACUGACGCUGAGGAGCGAAAGCCAGGGGAGCAAACGGG